RNAcentral lists this unclassified non-coding RNA (304 nucleotides) under plant metagenome. Its description in RNAcentral is "partial contains 5.8S ribosomal RNA, internal transcribed spacer 2, and large subunit ribosomal RNA". The stretch from base 1 to 105 matches the Rfam family "5.8S ribosomal RNA", at positions 50 to 154 of the family's 154-position model. The record is from RNAcentral.
GAAAUGCGAUAAGUAGUGUGAAUUGCAGAAUUCAGUGAAUCAUCGAAUCUUUGAACGCACAUUGCGCCCUUUGGUAUUCCUUAGGGCAUGCCUGUUCGAGCGUCAUCUAAACCCUCAAGCCCUGCUUGGUGUUGGGUGCCUGUCCCGCCCCCGUGCGCGGACUCACCUCAAAUCCAUUGGCGGCCCUCGUGCCGGCCCCGAGCGCAGCAGAAACGCGGUCUCGUGGCCCGGCGGAGCGUGCCCCCAGAAGCAACAUUCACCGUUUUGACCUCGGAUCAGGUAGGGAUACCCGCUGAACUUAAGC